CGGGUAAAGCCGAGCACUCUAAGGAGACUGCCGGUGAUAAACCGGAGGAAGUGGGGAUGACGUCAAGUCCUCAUGGCCCUUACGUCUGGGGCUACACACGUGCUACAAUGGCCGGUACAAAGGGUUCCGAUACCGCGAGGUGGAGGCAAUCCCAAAAAACCGGUCUCAGUUCGGAUUGCAGUCUGCAACUCGACUGCAUGAAGUCGGAAUCGCUAGUAAUCGCUGAUCAGCAGGCAGCGGUGAAUACGUUCCCGGGCCUU
Molecule: ribosomal RNA, 260 nt
Filed under: uncultured Latescibacterota bacterium
Lineage: Bacteria; Pseudomonadati; Candidatus Latescibacterota
Description: uncultured Latescibacteria bacterium partial 16S ribosomal RNA
Rfam family: Bacterial small subunit ribosomal RNA
Source: RNAcentral